GUUGUGGCUCAGUGGUAGAGCGCUUGCCUAGCAUGUAUGAGGCACUGGGUUCGAUCCUCAGCACCACA
Molecule: transfer RNA, 68 nt
Filed under: Marmota monax (woodchuck)
Lineage: Eukaryota; Metazoa; Chordata; Mammalia; Rodentia; Sciuridae
Description: tRNA.Ala
Rfam family: tRNA (bases 3-63)
About the family: Transfer RNA (tRNA) molecules are approximately 80 nucleotides in length.
Source: RNAcentral